This 30394-nucleotide long non-coding RNA is filed under the name Vitis vinifera (wine grape). Its description in RNAcentral is "long non-coding RNA (VVIN_LNC003335)". The record is from RNAcentral. Lineage: Eukaryota; Viridiplantae; Streptophyta; Magnoliopsida; Vitales; Vitaceae.
CCAUAAGAUACUCGAGUUGUUAUUUCUCAAAACAAGAUUGCCAGAAUCCAACAGGGUGGCACUAGUUUUGCUGUUUGAUGAUAUGCUUGUCACCCUGUAUGAAAUUUUCCCCUCCCAAACCUCGAGGUUACCAUCUGUCCUGACAGUAAGAACCACAGACGGAUCUGUGAAUGAAUAAUCUCGGUUAGCUACCCACACAAUGGUUGGCUCUGAUACUUUCUUGUACCAUAUCCCCACAUAGUAUUUUGUGGAGUUUCCAGGAGAAAAGAAUCCUAAUUCAAAUUCACCACCCGCAGAUAUGAUGGUCUGAGAGGUUGUGAUUGAUUGACCUUGUGAGAUUGUAUCUGUAAAUGCAUCAGCAAAUUCCAAGUGAAAACCUGAAGAAAUAAGCAAGAAAACAAGAAUAACAGACCACCAACUGGUUGAAAAUUUCAUGCUAGCCAUAACUCAUAAGCAGCGUUUAAGCAGCCCGCCGAUAAACUUAUAGCCAUCCUAAACAGGCAGUAGCAUAUCUGAGGUCCGGCGACUCGGUCAAAGUCUCCUUUCCACCGAUCUCCUUUCCAAUAUAUCUUUCAGGAAAAUUAUAGGGUACUGUGAGGUAGGUACAGAAGAAUAUCUUGGGCCAUUGGAUGUGAUCUUCAACAUUCAUCUUCAAUUUUGGUAAACAAAAAAAAAGAAAAAACAUAUAUAUAUAUAUAUAUAUAUAUAUAUAUAUAUAUAUAUAUAUAUAUAUAUAUAUAUAGAUACAUAUAGCAAGGUAGUUCUCUUUCUUUAGAUUCAUGAUCCUAGCUGACAUAGAAGAUAUCAUAAACUCUUUGGCAGGAAAGAGCUCUUUUGGAUGUUACUGGUUUUCAAUACCCUCUCAUUACGUCCUCAAGGAUGAAAAUAUCGAUAAUCACGGAUAUAUCGGUAACUUGAUUUUAUGGAUAUAUCGGAUAAAUAUCGACGGAUAUUUUGGAAAAAAAUUUUUGUAGACAAAAAAUUGAUCAAAACUCAUGAAAAUGUAAGAAAAACCUCAUAACAAUGUAAUUAGAAGUAUAAUAAACAAUUUAAAUUUGUUUUGUUGAAGAAUUUGAUAUAUAUAUAUAUAUAUUAUAUGAUAUGCGAUAUUAGAUGUAAUUAUAUUAUGUGGGUUGAUAAAAAAUAUGAAUUUUGUAAUUGUACACUCAUUAUCAAGUUCAUGAAAGACUUGAUUUCAUUAAAUAUCAAUAAUUUGUACAAAUUAUCACAUAGCCGUUGGAGUUGAACUUUGACCGUUGGAUCACAUCCAGCUUCAAUUUGGACCAUCAGAUGCAUAUGAGUCAUGAUUUGUUUCCAUUUUCUUUUUUAUCUUUACUAAAUCUAAAAUGCUUUUAUUCAAAAAUGUUUUAUUAUAUUUUAAAUAAAAAAUUAAAUUAAUUUAUAUAAAAUAUUUUAUUUGAUAUUUAAUUUCUAAAAUUUUAUUAAAAUGUGGUAACAACUUUUUAUAUCAAUAUUAAUUUAUUUAAAAACAUUAAAAAAAAUAGAUAUAAAUAAAAAAAAAAUUGAUAUAAAAUUUUUAAAAUAUAUUUAUCCAUAAAAAUAAAAAUUUCUUCACAUGCCGCAAUUGCAUUAUUUUAUUUUUAAAAUAUAAAAUAGUUUUCUUAUUUAAAAAGCUAUAAGUGCAAAUCAUUUUGUACAAAAUUUUAAAAAUUUAAAUUCCAGAUAAAAAUCAGUAUGAUAAUGUUUUAACAUGUUUUGAAUUGUUUACAAUGUGUUAGGAUUCACUUACUAAGUCACAACCAUAUGUUUUGUUCAUGUUCUUAUCCAGAAGAAUGUUGAUAGUCUUCAAAUCUCGAUGAAUAAUUCUCAAUCUAGAGUACUAAUGGAGAUAAAGAAGUCCCUGAGCCACCCCUUGAAUGAUGUGAACCCAUGCCUUCCAAUUCAAUACUGGAUCCAUCAAGUCCAGCCCUAUGUUGUUUUUCCACAUAUCCCAUGCCUAAAGGAAAGAAAAUGUUCUUUUGAUGCAAAUUUCCAAAGAAGAAAAACAGAUGUAUAGUCCUUUUUAUUGCAUGCAAAGAACUUCAACUUAAAAUUGACUAGUAAAUCAAGAAUUAGUAUAUUAGAACAUUGUAGAUUGUGUUACUCACAUAUCUAAGAAGACUGAGUGAGUCACUUUGGUAAAAUGUAGUAUUCUUUUUGCCUCUUAGAAUCUCCCGUAACAAGACCCUGAAGCUAAAGACAUCUGAUUUAGUUGAAAAUAGGCCUUCCAAAGCAUAUUCAAGGGACAUGUAGCUAGCCACUAAAUUUCAUUAUUAGAACAAAUUAUUUAGUGGUUGCUUUGUAACAAAAAUGUAUAUAUAUAUAUAAAAAAAAAAAAGAAAGGCCAUGUUGUGUGAGAAUUCACAUAUUUUACACUUUGCAAGGAUUCACUUACCAAGUCUCAAUUAUAUUAUUUGUUGCUAUCAACUAAUUUUCUCCAAAAAUUCUUGCCAAUCCAAAAUCUGAUAUUUUGGGUUCAUGUCCAUAUCCAAAAGAAUGUUGCUAGCCUUCAAAUCUCAAUGAAUAACCCUCAAUCUGGAGUACUGAUGGAGAUAAAGAAAUCCCUGAGCAACCCCUUCAAUUAUGUGAAUGUGUGUUUCCCAGUCCAAAAUCCCAUGUCUUGUAGGAUCCAUCCCAAUUUUACACCAAAUAAAUACAAACUAGUGUCAGUAAAUAAGAGGCCAACAACAAUGAAUGAAAAAAGCUUUUUAUUGAGCAUAGGAUAAACAAAAGUUUAGAUAUGUUGAGAAGUACAAACCAAAAGGAAGAAAUCUAAACUUUUAUUAGCCAUAUACUCAUAAACCAGUAUCUUCUCAUCUAGUUCAAUGCAACAACCCAAAAGUCUAACAAGAUUCUUAUGUUGGAGCUUGGCUAUAAGCAUGGCUUCAUUUUUUAACUCCUCCCAUCCCCGUUCUUAUCGUUUUGAAAGUCUUUUCACAACUACCCUCAUAUUGUCUUUGUUAUUUUCCCUAUCAUUAUGGUUGAAAGUUGCGGUAUCGAUCAUUGACUUGAGAGAUCUUAACACACAUCGAUCUUGGGGUUAAAGUUUCCAUAACUUCUUCUAGAGUUAUAUUCCACCUUCAAAGAGAAAGAAUCAUAGCUUCCACUCUCUCUUCAUCCAUUCCCACUAAAAGUGCAUUAAGAUCAAGGUUCAAGUCAUCGAACAAAAAAUUGUAGAUUUACAAGACUUCCAACAACUUCGAAGUCAUCUUCAAAUCCCCAAUUCUCAUGCACCAACUACCAACCUUUCUUCAAAUCCCUAACUCACCCAUACUAGAGAGAGAGAGAGAGAAAGAGAGAGGAAGGCAGACAAAAGCAGGCGAGAAUUGAGACCAAAAUUAGAGAGAUGAGGGACCAAAUGCAGUGAUGGCCGCUCAUGUCAAUGAAGGGGAUCUUCUUAUCACACCAAUCACCACAACAGGACCAUUGAAGACGCUCCACAUCCAUGAUCGUUCUGAAGUUAGUGAUACCAUAACCUCUUCUUCUUAUGCACCUCCAAGACUCAAUCAUGGGUUAGAUUGAUGUCUUUCUUCCUCUUCAUCAUGGUUAUUGAGAAACUUUUCCUUUUGAUGACAAUCUUUGAUUUUUUUAGAGGUUUUUUUGGUUUACAUCUCCUUUGUUGUUCCUCUAUUGUGAUUUGAAAGUGAAAAAAUGAUUUCUUUUGUUAACUUGAAUGGUUCAACCGAGUCAACUCGGAAGCUCCAUUGAGAUAACCGAGUUUAAGCGAUUCCUGAUUGAGUAUGAGUCUAUACGACUCAGCUAAGUAGUACUGGACUCGGCUUGUUCUUGAAUCGAUAGAAUUAAAGGAAUGCUUGGUGAAGGGAUAUGGUGUCUCCAUUUAUUUAAUUUAAUUGAUUACUUAUUUUUGGAUUGCAAAAUAAUCGUGUUAUUAUUUAUAUGAAAUAUUGAAUGAGUUUUGGGACAUUUAAGGGCAAGAGUACUAAGUAGAUUAAUUAUUUUUAAUUAAAUUCAAAACAAUCUUAAUUUGAAAGUUAUUUGAAUGGGAAAUAUAUUUAGGAACUAGUAAAAAGAAAAUUCUUUAAAUUUGAUCCUUCUCAAAUAAUUGAAAAAUAUCUUUUUUCUCGGAAAAUACUCAUAAGUAGAAAAUUUAUCUCAAAAUUAGAAAUUGAAGAACUUAGGGGCACAUAUUUUAAUUAAACAUGUCAAUUUCAAUUAAAAUAAAAAUAAAUAAAUAAAAUAUAGAAAAGGCGAUAAGUGGAUAGUGAUAGAUCUGUGUUGACAGUAACAACCACAGAUGGAUUUGUGAAUGAAUAGUCUCGGUUAGCUACCCACACAAUGGUUUGCUUUGAGAUUUUCUUGUACCAUAUCCCCACAUAAUAUUUUGUGGACUUUCUAGGAGAAAAGAAUCCUAAUUCAAAGUUACCAGCAACAAAUAUAAUGGUAUGAGAGGUUGUGAGUGAUUGACCUUGUAAGAUUGUAUCUAUAAAGGCCUCAACAAAUUGCCAGUGAAAACUUGAAGAAAUAAGCAAGAAAACAAGAUUAACAGUGUAACGCUCAAGUAUUUUUUUUUUAAGGGUAAUUUAGGAAAUUACUAAUAAUAAUUAAAUUAGUUAAUUAAUUAAUUUAAUAAAGUGGAAGAGGGGUAAAAGUGUAAUUUUACGAAUAAAUACCCUAAGUAUAAAUUAGAAAUUCUAUUUCUUCCUGUUCUUUUAUGAAUAGAGUUCAUGUUCGCAGAAUUUUAGAGAACGUAGGUUGGAGUCAGAUUUCAGGGUUGAAGAACAGAUCUCUAUAGGUAAGAUUCUAACCCCUAGUUUAAUAUUUUAGAUUCAUUGAUUAAUUUCAAACACAUUAGAUAUCUUUUGGAAAACCCAAAUCUAGAUUAGGGUUAGUUUUUUUUUUUUUUUUUAAUUCGUUUUAAUAUCAAUAGUAAAAAAAUAAAAAUUUAAGAUUUUGAUUUAUUGUUGGUAUUUGGGAGAUCUUAAGUUUUAUUAGAUGAAAAAAAAAAAAAGGUUCCUUGGAAGGUUUCGAUUUUAUAUUAGGGUUAAUUCUAUUUUUUUUAAAAGUAAAUAAAUAUAUUGUUAUUUGUGGUGGAAGGGAUUAGAAAAAAUUAAUAAAAAGAAAAAAUAAAUAAAUAAAUAAGAAAAGAAGAGAACACGUGUGCACAGUACUGGAACAAAGAAUAGAAAAAAAAAACAAGAGACGCGUGUGCACACUAGAAGGAAGGAAAAAAAAACAGGUGGGGCGUGACAGUGCUAUGGAGGCUUUUAUAUAUAUAUAUAUAAUGAAUCAUCAUUAGGCAAAAAAAAAAAACUUGUUUUUUGGUGUGUACCCGAGAUGAGUAAUGGUUGGGUGGCUAUUGAAUUGGAUAAUUAAAAAAAUAAUGAUAUUUAGUUUUAGAUUAAUAAAUAAGAUAAGAGUAAUAAUGGUCUUUUUGUAAUAAAUAGAAUGAGAGAUUUAGCAAUAUAUAUAUAUAGAAUUUUAUAAUAAAAUAAAAUUGUAAUUUAAUUAAAUUAGUAAUGUGUUAUUAGAAACAAAUUGAGAAUUUAUUAAUUUUAUUUAAAUAAGGAAUAGAUUAGUUAAAUUAUAGAUAAAUAGUAAUAAUUAUUUCUCUUAUGUUAUAUUAGGAGAAUAGUAGAUUUUUCCAGAAUUAUUUUUCUCUCAAGCUUUCAAGGUCUUUGCAUAAUUUGAGGUAAGGGAAGUUAAUGCAAUAUUUAUAAAAUUAACUUAUUUUAUAUGUUAUUUUGAAUUGUGGAAAAGAAAAUGAUAUUUUGUUACCAUGCAUGGAUCAAACUGUUUUGCACUAAAUAUUAUGUUGGAAUAUUUUGUUUUAUUUAUGACACAAAAUAUGGAGAUAUUACGUUGUGUAAAUUUGAAUACUUGAACAAAAACAUCACUCUGGUUUAUUUGGCCCUUGUCAACGGGAUAUAAUAGUUGACUAUUCGGCCCUGUCAACGGGAUAUAAUAGUUGACCUUUACAUUUCAUGGUGGGAAUGUAAUUGAUUUGGACCCCAGCCUCUAGGGGUUUGGUUAGAGGUUACUAGUACUAGUAGUGUUUGGUUCUAUCUACCAGGAACAAUUUGAGGCUAGCCACCCAUUUGAAAAGUCCCACCUAACUGGGUAUUUGAUAUUUGAUAACCAGAGUAAUGAAAAUUGAAUGGAUUUGAUUGAAUCUUAUGUGAAAGUGUUUGAAUUUGAUAUGAAAAUGGUUGGUUGAAAUUAGGAAUGGCAAUUUCGCGGGUUUUUCGGGUCACCCACCCCUUCCCGCCCUGAUUAGAACGGGUAUGGGAGCAUAGAAAUGGGAUGGGUUCAGGUUUUAAAAAAAAACCCGAAUUGGGUUCGGGGCGGGAUCGGGUUUAGUAACAAUAUGCCCCGCCCCGCCCCGAAUAUGAAAUUACAAGUUUACCCCCACCUAUAAAUAUUUGCUUCCUAUCCUUUCUGGUCUUCCUCUCCCGUUUUAGGUUUUUUUUCUCUCGUUUUAAGGUUCUCGUUCCUGGGGUUGUUGAUGAGAACACAAGUGAUGAUGGAGACGGAGCUGUCCCGAAUCACCUGAGACGACCUCAUCAUACUAGAUUGCCUCGACCCCUUUCUAUACCAGUUUCCAGUGUGAAGAAAUGGCUUCCGCAAAUCCCUCCCAUCCUCGUUCUCGUCCCUGAAACUCAUCCCUAAUAUGCAAUCAGCAACUCAAGUGUUCGUCAAAAUGCUAAAAGAUGGUGUGUUUUGGACAGUUGGAGUACUCAAUGCAGAAAUCCAUCAAUAAUCCACCCGAAACUGCCAUUUUCUCCAUGGGAAUCAUUUUAGGUAUUUUUUUUUUUGGAAUUUUGAUUUUUUGGUUUUGGGUGUUUUUUUGUCAGUUUUUGGGCAAAAGAUGAGAGAUUUGAAUGUUGAUUUGUUUGGUUUGGGGUGUUUUUUUUGUCAAUUUCUGGGCAAAAGAUGAGAAAUUUGUUGGUGAUAUUUGGGAUUGUCCAGAUUUGUAAUCUGGUGGCAACAAGGUGGUCUUUUUGCUAAUUUAUUUUCCUCAUUUCAGCAAUUUGUAACUCAUUGUUUUCACCUGUUUUUGGGCAACUCGGGUCGGAAUGGCUGGGGAUGGAAUUUUGAUUAUUAUUUCAAAACGGGGAUGAGAUUACAUACCCCGCCCCGCCCCGGGUUUGGGACGGGGAUGAGAUUUGUUUUGAAUAAACGGGACGAGGUUGGGAUGAGGGCGACCCGUCCCGUUGCCAUUCCUAGUUGAAAUUUGAAUAUAUUGGUAUUUUUGAAACUUUGAUAUUUGAUGAGAAAAAAAAAUGAUAUCUUCUAUUUGAAAUGAAAAUAUUUGAUCCAUGAACUGCAUUAAUAUUCCUUAUUGGGCUGUGAGCUCAUUCCCAAUUGUUGAAAAUUUUUCAGGUACCUUUAAUUCGGGCGAGGAGUGAUGACUAGGCGGGAAAGUUGGUCAUCAUUAGGAUUUUUCUUAGGAUGUUAUUUUUUAACAUUGUUAGCUUAUAAGUUUAUGUUCAUUUGGUUUAUUUAGUUUUUGGAAGCUAUUUAGAUAUUGAGCUUUUAAAUUUUUUUUUUUAUGAUAGAUUGAAGUUGAGAUUUGGAGAUUAUAAAAAUUCGUUAGUACUUGAUUUGUUGAGUUGCAAUCUAUUUGGAUAAUGGAUUUUGGUUGAUGGAUGCUUAGUUCUAAAGUUAAAUUUGGAGAUUUUAGAAUUUUGUUCUACUACUCUGAACAGGUUUUUGAUAAUUGGUUACUUCCAAUUACAAUAUGAUUAUUUGGAUCAGGUUAUACUUUAAGCCUUCGGGUUUGAGGUGUAAAAUGACCGUCACGCCCUUGGAGUGGGUCUUGGGGCGUGACAAGUAGACCACCUUCUGGUUGAAAUUUUGAUGUUACCUAUAACUCAUAAGUAGGAUUUAAGCAGCCCAUCAAUAAUCUUAUGGCCAUCCAAAACAGGCAGUGGCAGACCUGUGGCCCAGCCACUGGUGAGUCGAAAUCUCCUUUCCACUGACUUUCCUUUCAAUAUAUCUUCUAGGAAAAUUCUACAGCCCUGUGUGGUAGCAAUAGAAGAACAUCUUCCAUUCUUCCCUUUCUUCCAUUCUUUCCCUUUACAUUCAUCAUCGCAGCUGUCCUGGAAGAUAUCCAACUCAUAGAGUUAAUCAAACAUAAAAAAAUUAUUUUCUUUUUUUUUUCUUUUUUUGAUUUGUUUAUAGAUGAUUUUUUACUUUUAUUUUUAUGGUUAUUGGUUUCUUCGAUGAUGAUUUUUUACGAUAUAUAAAUCCAUUUUAACUUUGUUGUUAGAUGGAUUAAUUUUUAAUUUUUAAUCUUAUUUAGACAAUUUAUCUUUAAAUAAUAGAAUUGGUUGUUAUAAUUCUUAUCAUUUUUAUUAAAUUCUAAUUCUAAUUCAAUAAAAUAAAUACGGUCAAAAAUUUGAAAUUGACGGGUUGCGAACUUUUAUUAUAAUUGUCUUGACUGAUUUACAUUCUCUAGAGGUAAGACACGAAAGAGUUGUUUUCGAUACCAUACUAUUAAUGUUUGACCCAUUUGUUCAUUUAUCAUUUUUCAAAGGGAGAAUUACCAAAGAUGGUGGGCUCCAUACUGCUAAUGUUUGACCCGUUUGUUCAUAUCUCAUUUUUCAAAAGGAGAAUUAUCAAAUAUGAUGGGCUCUGAUUGAUAAUGAGUCAUCAACUUGAUAAUCUUUCAUAUGCUUCAAAAUAUAAAAACUCAAAUAUACCCUUAUGUCUUUUAUUUUAAAGUCAAGCAUAUCCUUAUUUGGCCUUUUCCCUAUUUUGUAUUUUAUUUAUUUUAUUUUAUUUUUUAAUUAUUAUUUUUAAAAUAUGAAUAAUAAUCAUAAAAAUAAAUAAUAUUAGUAAGAAUGAUAUUAAUAAAUAACAUGAAUAAUUCAAAAUAUUAAUAUUAUAAAUAAUAAUAUUAACAUUAAUAAUAAUAACAAUGUGUAAAAAAGUAUAAAAGAAAAACAAUAAAAAGAAAAGUAAAAUUAAAUGAGAAUAAUAGGGAAAAUGCAAAAAUAAUAAUAAUAAUAAGGUACAAUUAGAAUUCCGAAAUUAUCAACUUUUGAAAGCUCUUGAUAGGAAUUUGUAAACAUGGUGACCCUUUUGGGUCAUUAUCACUGGUAGCUUACCCUAAACGGGAAUUCUUCUUUUUUGAAAUUCAUGUUGGACCUUUUCGCUAGAUACAAUUUAAUAAUUGGAAGAAUACCACAUGCAUUUUUUGUAUAGAAGGAGGUCCUCUUAGGAUACAACAUUGUUUAAAAUCAUUUAUAUAACUACAAUUUUUUUACCAAUAUCUUAUUAAAAAAAUGGAAAAUAACAAAAAUCCCCCAUUAGGCCCACAUUACUUCUUUGUAUGCUGGCACAAAGUCACUUAUGGGUGGAGGAAAAACAUAAGAGAUUUAUUUUUUCAACCAAAUUUAAUAUUAAGGUGGUUUUACCUUUUUUUUUUUUUUACUUAAUUUUAAUUUGAAUUUAAAACUAAAUAGUAUUUAAUAACAUUAACUAGUAAGUUAUUUUUAAAAAGAUUUUAUUUUUAUUAAAUAUUUAAGAAGUAAAAGAAAACCUAUAAAUUACUUUUAGCAUCCAGAAAAGUCAAAUAUCAUUUUUUAUAAUAAAAAAAAUUAAAAAAUAAGUAAUAUAUUAACAAAAUGUACAAAAACAAACUAUUUGAAAUCUAAAACAAAAAUAUUUUUCUAUAAAAAAAAUUUAAAAACAAACAGCACCUAAUUUUUCAUAAUCAUCUUUACAUUCUUUUCUUUAAAAGAGAUUUGUGUUCAAAUCCAACUCUACUAUUUAUUCUUGAGUGUCCAUCAAUGCUUGGUGGUACAGUGAUUUCACAUUUUCCUUUAGGGGGUGUUUGGUACAUGGGAAUAGGGAGUGAGAAUAGACAUCUUAUUCCUUUUCUACCUUAUUCCUAUGUUUGGAUAAAUAUUAAGAAGACGAAAAUGGAAUAAAAAAUUAUUCAGGCAGAAAUCAAAUCCAACUUAUAACUCGGAUUUGCAUUCAUCAAAAGUAGGUGGUAUUCUGAUUCAUUAAACUCAUUUGAUAAUAUAAAAUAACCUAAAUUACUAUUUUACGCUCUUAUCUCAUUCUUCAAGCCUGAUGUUUAUUUUUUUUGUAAAGGUAGAGAUUCAUUCAUCAUCUACUUCUUAUCUUCUUUGCAAAGUUAGAGACCCACUCAUCAUCCAAUUCUUUGCAACAAGUGAUUCUUCCAAAUUGAAUUAAUCAAACCUUCCACGACAUUUAGAAAAUUCAAUUUCUUAGUAAAAUAUAAUUCUAUAGCUUUUUUUGCAUGACAAAUUAUUUAAAAUUUUGAUUAAAAAAUGAAUAUUUAAAAAUUUUUAAGGUUAUAGAUUUUAUCGGAUAUGAUAUUUGUUGAAAAUUAGAAUAAAUUUGAAUUCUUUUAUUUUCUUUUUUGGAAAUAGGAAAAAUAUUUGCUAGUUUUAAGAAUUUAAAUAUUAUAAUAAAUGAGGUAUUUGUCAAGUUCUUGAAAAUCAAUUUAAUAAGUUUAGAAAAUCAUUUGAACGAUAGAUGCAUGUCUUUUCUGGUUGGCUUCCGGGUCAAUCUUCUACUGCAAGCCCCACUAAGGAAUAUAAACGUUUUUGCCACGAUGUAAGCUUUGUUUGUAACGAUGCCUUUUCAUUUUAAGCUAUGGGGAUGAGGGUAGACUUCAAAUUCCUCAUCCACAUCCUGAACUCCCUCAGAUUUCUUGGCAACCAAAUGGAUUUUAUUGAAAUCAUGUCCAAUAAGAAAAGAAGGUUUUACGAGUACUCAACGUAAACCUUCGAUUAUAAUAUUUCUUCUCUUAAAAAAAAUGUUAGAUGAUGUCACAGCAUAAAAGGCAAAAAAAUUCUGCAGCUGCUUUCCUUCCUCACUUUCCCUCUUGCCUACAUGUUAAUUAGUACUUAUGCUUAGCUGUAGCAUGUGCAGAAGCUCGUCUUUCCUAGUACUAGUUGAAUAUUUUCUGUAGCUCUGACGGUUGUAUUUUACACUCUGGAUUGGCAAUGCAUAAAAGCAGAUUCAGUAGCAAUUAAGAUGGGAAGAUGAGAUACAAUAUUUUGAAAAAAUAAAAACUAUCUUGAUAAAUUAAUGAUUUAUUAAUUAAUACACAAUUAAUAUUCACUUAAUUAAUUGAUUUUCCUUGUUCCCAAGCUAUUAAUUUAUGGACGAUUAGUUGUAUCUUAAAAGAAAAAAAGAAAAAAGAAAUCUCAAAAUGGUCUAAGACUUAAAUGCAUCUUCCCUGGAUAAGCAUAAUUCAAUGUAGCAGGUAGCAGAACUUGACCGUCAUUUUCAUCAAAGUCUUCCCUAAUUUCUGUGGUUGAAUAGAUUAAACAACAUUAGAGUGGCAGGAAAUGAUCCUUUUCAUGCUGAUGAAUUGAUAGAAGAAAUCAGAUACCUGAUUUUCCCCAGCUGGGUCUGCUGCUUUUCUUUCCCUCAAAGUCUUGGAACCUCCCAUGCACUGUAUUUUGGAGAACCAUUCAGAAAUGUUUUCAGAUUUUCUGUCUCCAGAGGCCAUUGGAAAAAAAAAAAAAAAACUCAUUCAAUGCAGAGACCAACUACCAUUCAAAGCAAGGUGUAGUAGUUUUGAAAGACCUUUUGUUAGGAUUCCCUUCUAGAUAUAUUUCCUUCUAUGACUUUUCCAAUUUGUAUCGGACCUUUCUUCAAUCUAGACCAUGCCCAGAAUGAGAAGAAUUAUGGAAAGAACACUAAAUUCAUGUACUUAAGGCCCCACUGGAAUUAGAUUUUCUAUGCUGGACGGCAAAAUAAUUAUCUACUUUUUGACUUGCUAUAUGUUAUCUCUCCUAAAAUAUUCAAUGAAACUGAUUCCCAAGCCAAGCGCAGGGUCCCAUAAAUGACCAUUAUUUCACCCAUUUUGCUUUUGAAGUCUAUGUUGUAGAGAUGAGAGAGGCUCAAUGGGCUCGUUUAGCCCUACUUGAGCUUGAGCUUGAGCUUGAGCUUUCCAUCAUAAACUACAGAAAUUGUAGACUUCAAGUUAUUUCUCUUUUGCAUUUUCCUUAGUUUUCUCAGCAACCAAAGGGGUUUUACUCAAACUAUGUCCAAACAAAUGGGAAGUGUUAUAAGUCACAGGAAACGUUAUACCACAUUUUUUUUCUUCACUAAAAUUGUUUGAUCACUUUGGAUUUGGAAGGCGAAAAAUCUACAUCUGCUUAAUUAAUUCCUCCCUUUCCCUCAUGCCUAUAUGCUGAGUAGCUGAAUUGUCUUCGCUAUUGCUAGUUGAAUGAAGCACUGUAUGAUAUGAAUCUGAACCUGAAGCUAACCCUGCUUCUAUUUACUCCCUGCCCCCAUUAUAGCUAAGUUAAUACCUACACCUGGGUUCUGAUAAUUUCUUUCCCCACUGACAUAUCCAUCAAUUACAGCAUCUUGUCCUCGUACCCCAUUCCCCAUACCAAAAACUGUUUCAAAAUUAUCUUCUUUCAGACGCCGAGUGAAAACUUAAUUCACUUACUAUGCUAAUAUAUAAAAUUACAGGAAAAGAAAAAAAAGUGGAAGGUGGAUAGUUGACUCUCUAUAGAGGGAUUGGCCCUAAAUGCGCCAUUUGUUUUGAGCUCUGAAAAUUGUCCUCCACUCUUUGGAUUGAUGAGGGAACAGAUCAUAAUCAAAUUAAAUCCAAAUUCAACUGGAUAAAAUCAGACUUCAUAACAAUUUCAGAUAAAAAUAUUAGACACAGGUCUGAAUGAUUAUUGAACUGUUUUGGAAGAAAAAUUCACACAGAUCACGUGUCCAUUUCAAUACAUGAGCUAUGAAUUCGCAAAAACAACGCAAGACAAUAUGCUGAAAUUUAAGCAUAUUAUUUUUUAAGUUCUGAACCAUUAUCGUGCUUGCAUAAUUGAAAGUGUCACACCAUUUAAGGAACAAAUUUCAGGCCUGUUUUGAAAUAUAUGUGGUUCCACCCCACUUCUCAGAUUUGAAAAUGCCGGUUGUUUUGGAGAAGGUAAAUGUACACUUUCAUUGCCAAGCAUUGAGACAACAUCAGACAUGGUAGGCCUGUCAUUUGCACUUUCUUGAACACAAAGAAGGCCUAUAUUGAUGUACUUCAACAGAAUGUGUCUUGGCAAUGUCUCUUCCAACACUGGAUCCAUCAAUUCCUGUCCCCUGCUGUCUUUCCACAGAUCCCAUGCCUUUUUUUAUUGAAUACACAAUAGCUAGAAGUUCGGAUAUGUAGAAGUUACAAACCAAAUAGGAAGAAAUCCAAGCUUUUGUUGGGCAUAUACUCAUAAAUCAAUAUCUUCUCAUCUUGCUCAAUGCAGCAGCCGAAUAGCUUCACAAGAUUCUUAUGUUGCAGCUUGGCUAUGAGCAUGGCCUCAUUUUUUAACUCCUCCCAUCCCUGUCCAGAUCUUUUUGAAAGCCUCUUCAAAGCUACCUCAUACCCUUUUUGUGACUUUCCCUGUAAUGGGAAUUUCGGCUGAGUACAAUUACAUCAAGUAAAAGAAAAUUUGUAUUUACCUAGUGGGCCUUUACAGUUAAGGACAGAUUGUAGAACAGUCAGAAGAAUUUUCACAUUUCUUUUCUGAAAGGCAUUGCUGUUAGUGAUACGAAUCUCACCUUGUAAACAGGUCCAAAACCACCCUCUCCUAGUUUAUUUUCAAUAGAGAAGUUAUUGGUAGCAGCAGAUACACUCACAAAACUGAACAUUGGCAAAUCAACUUCCUUCUUCUCACCUCUCCAAAGUUUAUUUGCCUCACUAAGUUCAUAGUUGGUAUCUACUGAGCUGUUACUUAAAUCAAAUAGUAACAAAUUUUCCCCUGCUUGAUAAAGAACAAACAGAUGUUAAGUAUCUUAAGAAUGUAGGAAUUCUGGAAUGGGAAUAAAUUGUUUCAUUAUUGAUUUUUAUCACACUGUAGUGCCUGGUACAUACUCACAUGUAAUCAGGAGAUCGAAAUCCUAAUAAGGCCUUAAUUAUUCUACAACAAUGGUAAUGAACUCAUUGCAGAAAAGAAAUGGUUUUGUAUGUGUAGAUGGAAUCUAAAUGCCCUUGAAUCGCUUGGCCAUCUUCUAUCCAUGAAAAAUACUGACCUUUUCUUCGUAGCCUUCUCUGUAUCCCCCAAAUGACAAAGGCUGAAGUUACGGAAAUGGCCAGUGUAACAAUUAGCCAUACCUUCCACUUGCUGCUUGAAACUGCAAAAAGAAAUAAAUGUAACUAAUCUUUGAUGAACUUCAUCUUAUAUUUAAGAAAAAGAAAAUCAUAUGCUCUGUCCUACAAAAAAAGUUUGACCAAUCCCUACUUUUAUUACCUUUCCCACUUAGCUCAGAGGCCGCAAGUUUGAGAUAGAAAUCUUGACCAUUACUGUUGUCAUCUGAUAGCUGUUGCAAGUUUAGAAGAUCUCCACCCCAUACUGUACACUUCUCCAUGUAGUAAGAAUAAGCAGAGCAAGAGCAGUUAUUUAGGCAAUCUGACUCGCACUGCAUGGCACCACUCGUUGGGAGUGUUAGUGGAUAAUCUGGCAGCCUCACAUUAGACACCCGAUGAAACUGGUCUCUCUCCCCAUUAUCAUGAGUACUAUUGCCACACUGCAAAUCUGCUUUCCUCACACACCCUCCAGAUGUGUCGUUCAAGUUCCAGUUAUUAGGGAAGCCAGGUUCCAAACCUGGCAAACAUUCACAGAAUCUAUCGACUGCAUGGUCAUGACAGAUUCCAAAAGGCCCACAGUAAGCAUAAACCUCACAUUGCUUUUUUGGUUGAAACCAAAACAUAUGCCAUUGAUGAGAGGCUUCAAGCCAUGACAUUUGUUUAAUCUGCCCUGACACAUCCAGCACGAAUCUGCAUAUUUUUGAAGAAUUAUAAAUUGAGUAAUUGAUAUAGGUCUGCUCCUUACUAAACGAAUAACUGAAAUUAAACACAUCGUUUGAGCGCAUCUCACGAAUCAAGCUGAAAGCCUGCCCAUCCCUGUCCCAGGUGCCACUAGCCCAGUACAUUGUGGACCCUUGCAAGAUAAAAAUCUGGCCGCUUCCCUUAGGGUCGUACUUCAUGGAGAAAACUCCUGGACUGGGAUCUUCUGUGCUCUUCCAUGACACUAAUGACCAUGUUUUUCCAGCCCUUUUGUCGUAUCCAAGUUUCAUCCCCGGCAAGAAAGUGUGCGAUGGAUAGUCAAAGCUCUGCCAUAAGAUCCUCGAGUUGUUAUUUCUCAAAACAAGAUUUCCAGAAUCCAACAGGGUGGCACUAGUUUUGCUGUUUGAUGAUAUGCUUGUCAAUCUGUAUGAAAUUUUCCCCUCCCAAACCUCGAGGUUACCAUCUGUCCUGACAGUAAGAACCACAGACGGAUCUGUGAAUGAAUAAUCUCGGUUAGCUACCCACACAAUGGUUGGCUCUGAUACUUUCUUGUACCAUAUCCCCACAUAGUAUUUUGUGGAGUUUCCAGGAGAAAAGAAUCCUAAUUCAAAUUCACCACCCGCAGAUAUGAUGGUCUGAGAGGUUGUGAUUGAUUGACCUUGUGAGAUUGUAUCUGUAAAUGCAUCAGCAAAUUCCAAGUGAAAACCUGAAGAAAUAAGCAAGAAAACAAGAAUAACAGACCACCAACUGGUUGAAAAUUUCCUGCUAGCCAUAACUCAUAAGCAGCGUUUAAGCAGCCCGCCAAUAAACUUAUAGCCAUCCAAAACAGGCAGUAGCAUAUCUGAGGUCCGGCGACUCGGUCAAAGUGUCCUUUCCACUGAUCUCCUUUCCAAUAUAUCUUUCAGGAAAAUUAUAGGGUACUGUGAGGUAGGUACAGAAGAAUAUCUUGGGCCAUUGGAUGUGAUCUUCAACAUUCAUCUUCAAUUUUGGUAAACAUAUAUAUAUAUAUAUAUAGAUACAUAUAGCAAGGUAGUUCUCUUUCUUUAGAUUCAUCAUCCUAGCUGACAUAGAAGAUAUCAUAAACUCUUUGGCAGGAAAGAGCUCUUUUGGAUGUUACUGGUUUUCAACACCCUCUCAUUAUGUCAUCAAGGAUGAAAAUAUCGGUAAUCACGGAUAUAUCGGUAACUUGAUUUUACGGAUAUAUCGGAUAAAUAUCGACGGAUAUUUUGGAAAAAAAUUUUUGUAGACAAAAAAUUGAUCAAAACUUAUGAAAAUGUAAGAAAAACCUCAUAACAAUGUAAUUAGAAGUAUAAUAAACAAUUUAAAUUUGUUUUGUUGAAGAAUUUGAUAUAUAUAUAUAUAUAUAUAUAUAUUAUAUGAUUUGCGAUAUUAGAUGUAAUUAUAUUAUGUAGGUUGAUAAAAAAAUAUGAAUUUUGUAAUUGUACACUCAUUAUCAAGUUCAUGAAAGACUUGAUUUCAUUAAAUAUCAAUAAUUUGUACAAAUUAUCACAUAGCCAUUGGGGUUGAAUUUUGAUCGUUGGAUCACAUCCAGCUUCAAUUUGGACUAUCAGAUGCAUAUGAGUCAUGAUUUGUUUCCAUUUUCUUUUUUAUCUUUACUAAAUCAAAAAUGUUUUUAUUCAAAAAUGUUUUAUUAUAUUUUAAAUAAAAAAUUAAAUUAAUUUAUAUAAAAUAUUUUAUUUGAUAUUUAAUUUCUAAAAUUUUAUUAAAAUGUGGUAACAACUUUUUAUAUCAAUAUUAAUUUAUUUAAAUAAUUAUUUAAAAACAUUAAAAAAAAUAGAUAUAAAUAAAAAAAGAAAUUGAUAUAAAAUUUGUAAAAUAUAUUUAUCCAUAAAAAUAAAAAUUUCUUCACAUGCUGCAAUUGCAUUAUUUUAUUUUUAAAAUAUAAAAUAGUUUUCUUAUUUAAAAAGCUAUAAGUGCAAAUCAUUUUGUACAAAAUUUUAAAAAUUUAAAUUCCAGAUAAAAAUCAGUAUGAUAAUGUUUUAACAUGUUUUGAAUUGUUUACAAUGUGUUAGGAUUCACUUACUAAGUCACAACCAUAUGUUUUGUUCAUGUUCUUAUCCAGAAGAAUGUUGAUAGUCUUCAAAUCUCGAUGAAUAAUUCUCAAUCUAGAGUACUAAUGGAGAUAAAGAAGUCCCUGAGCCACCCCUUGAAUGAUGUGAACCCAUGCCUCCCAAUUCAAUACUGGAUCCAUCAAGUCCAGCCUUAUGUUGUUUUUCCACAUAUCCCAUGCCUAAAGGAAAGAAAAUGUUCUUUUGAUGCAAAUUUCCAAAGAAGAAAAACAUAUGUAUAGUCCUUUUUAUUGCAUGCAAAGAACUUCAACUUAAAAUUGACUAGUAAAUCAAGAAUUAGCAUAUUAGAACAUUGUAGAUUGUGUUACUCACAUAUCUAAGAAGAUUGAGUGAGUCACUUUAGUAAAAUGUAGUAUUCUUUUUGCCUCUUAGAAUCUCCCGUAACAAGACCUUGAAGCUAAAGACAUCUGAUUUAGUUGAAAAUAGACCUUCCAAAGCAUAUUCAAGGGACAUGUAGCUAGCCACUAAAUUUCAUUAUUAGAACAAAUCAUUUAGUGGUUGCUUUGUGACAAAAAUGCAUAUAUAUAUAUAAAAGAAAGGCCAUGUUGUGUGAGAAUUCACAUAUUUUACACUUUGCAAGGAUUCACUUACCAAGUCUCGAUUAUAUUAUUUGUUGCUAUCAACUAAUUUUCUCCAAAAAUUCCUGCCAUUCCAAAAUCUGAUAUUUUGGGUUCAUGUCCAUAUCCAAAAGAAUGUUGCUAGCCUUCAAAUCUCAAUGAAUAACCCUCAAUCUGGAGUACUGAUGGAGAUAAAGAAAUCCCUGAGCAACCCCUUCAAUUAUGUGAAUGUGUGUUUCCCAGUCCAAAAUCCCAUGUCUUGCAGGAUCCAUCCCAAUUUUACACCAAAUAAAUACAAACUAGUGUCAGUAAAUAAGAGGCCAACAACAAUGAAUGAAAAAAGCUUUUUAUUAAGCAUAGGAUAAACAAAAGUUUAGAUAUGUUGAGAAGUACAAACCAAAAGGAAGAAAUCUAAGCUUUUAUUAGCCAUAUACUCAUAAACCAGUAUCUUCUCAUCUAAUUCAAUGCAGCAGCCCAAAAGUCUAACAAGAUUCUUAUGUUAGAGCUUAGCUAUAAGCAUGGCUUCAUUUUUUAACUCCUCCCAUCCCCGUUCUUAUCGUUUUGAAAGUCUUUUCACAACUACCCUCAUAUUGUCUUUGUUACUUUCCCUGUCAUUAUGGUUGAAAGUUGCGGUAUCGAUCAUUGACUUGAGAGAUCUUAACACACAUCGAUCUUGGGGUUAAAGUUUCCAUAACUUCUUCUAGAGUUAUAUUCCACCUUCAAAGAGAAAGAAUCAUAGCUUCCACUCUCUCUUCCAUCCAUUCCCACUAAAAGUGCAUUAAGAUCAAGGUUCAAGUCAUCGGACAAAAAAUCGUAGAUUUACAAGACUUCCAACAACUUCGAAGUCAUCUUCAAAUCCCCAAUUCUCAUGCACCGACAACCAACCUUUCUUCAAAUCCCUAACUCACCCAUACCAGAGAGAGAGAGAAAGAGAGAGAGAGGAAGGCAGACAAAAGCAGGCGAGAAUUGAGACCAAAUGCAGUGAUGGCCGCUCAUGUCAAUGAAGGGGAUCUUCUUAUCACACCAAUCACCACAACAAGACCAUUGAAGAUGCUCCACAUCCAUGAUCGUUCUGAAGUUACUGAUACCGUAACCUCUUCUUCUUAUGCACCUCCAAGACUCAAUCAUGGGUUAGAUUGAUGUCUUUCUUCCUCUUCAUCAUGGUUAUUGAGAAACUUUUCCUUUUGAUGACAAUCUUUGAUUUUUUAGAGGUUUUUUUGGUUUAAAUCUUGUUUGUUAUUCCUCUGUUGUGAUUUGAAAGUGAAAAAAUGAUUUCUUUUGUUAACUUGAACAGUUCAACCGAGUCAACUCGGAAGCUCCAUUGAGAUAACCGAGUUUAAGCGAUUCCUGAUUGAGUAUGAGUCUAUACGACUCAGCUAAGUCGUACUGGACUCGGCUUGUUCUUGAAUCAAUAGAAUUAAAGGAAUGCUUGGUGAAGGGAUAUGGUGUCUCUAUUUAUUUAAUUUAAUUGAUUGCUUAUUUUUGGAUUGCAAAAUAAUCGUGUUAUUAUUUAUAUGAAAUAUUGAAUGAGUUUUGGGAUAUUUAAGGGCAAGAGUACUAAGUAGAUUAAUUAUUUUUAAUUAAAUUCAAAACAAUCUUAAUUUGAAAGUUAUUUGAAUGGGAAAUAUAUUUAGGAACUGGUAAAAAGAAAAUUCUUUAAAUUUGAUCCUUCUCAAAUAAUUGAAAAAUAUCUUUUUUCUCAGAAAAUACUCAUAAGUAGAAACUUUAUCUCAAAAUUAGAAAUUGAAGAACUUAGGGGCGCAUAUUUUAAUUAAACAUGUCAAUUUCAAUUAAAAUAAAAAUAAAUAAAUAAAAUAUAGAAAAGGCGAUAAGUGGAUAGUGAUAGAUCUGUGCUGACAGUAACAACCACGGAUGGAUUUGUGAAUGAAUAGUCUCGGUUAGCUACCCACACAAUGGUUUGCUCUGAGAUUUUCUUGUACCAUAUCCCCACAUAAUAUUUUGUGGACUUUCCAGGAGAAAAGAAUCCUAAUUCAAAGUUACCAGCAGUAGAUAUAAUGGUCUGAGAGGUUGUGAGCGAUUGACCUUGUAAGAUUGUAUCUGUAAAGGCCUCAACAAAUUGCCAGUGAAAACCUGAAGAAAUAAGCAAGAAAACGAGAUUAGCAGUGUAACGCCCAAGUAUUUUUUUUAAGGGUAAUUUAGGAAAUUACUAAUAAUAAUUAAAUUAGUUAAUUAAUUAAUUUAAUAAAGUGGAAGAGGGGUAAAUUUUACGAAUAAAUACCCUAGGUAUAAAUUAGAAAUUCUAUUUCUUCCUGUUCUUUUAUGAAUAGAGUUCAUGUUCGCAAAAUUUCAGAGAACGUAGGUUGGAGUCAAAUUUCAGGGUUGAAGAACAAAUCUCUAUAAGUAAGAUUCUAACCUCUAGUUUAAUAUUUUAGAUUCAUUGAUUAAUUUCAAACACAUUAGAUAUCUUUUGGAAAACCCAAAUCUAGACUAGGGUUAGUUUAUUUUAUUUUUUUUAAUUCGUUUUAAUAUCAAUAGUAAAAAAAUAAAAAUUUAAGAUUUUAAUUUAUUGUUGGUAUUUGGGAGAUCUUAAGUUUUAUUAGAUGAAAAAAAAAAAAAAGGUUCCUUGGAAGGUUUCGAUUUUAUAUUAGGGUUAAUUCUAUUUUUUUAAAAAAGUAAAUAAAUAUAUUGUUAUUUGUGGUGGAAGGGAUUAGAAAAAGUUAAUAAAAAGAAAAAAUAAAUAAAUAAAUAAGAAAAGAAGAGAACGUGUGUGCACAGUACUGGAACAAAGAAUAAAAAAAAAAAAAAAAAACAAGAGACGCGUGUGCACACUAGAAGAAAGGGAAAAAAAAAAAAACAGGUGGGACGUGACAGUGCUAUGGAGGCUUUUAUAUAUAUAUAUAUAAUGAAUCAUCAUUAGGCAAAAAAAAAAAAAAAACUUGCUUUUUAGUGUGUACCCGAGAUGAGUAAUGGUUGGGUGGCUAUUGAAUUGGAUAAUUAAAAAAAUAAUGAUAUUUAGUUUUAGAUUAAUAAAUAAGAUAAUAGUAAUAAUGGUCUUUUUGUAAUAAAUAGAAUGAGAGAUUUAACAAAAUAUAUAUAUAGAAUUUUAUAAUGAAAUAAAAUUGUAAUUUAAUUAUAUUAGUAAUGUGUUAUUAGAAACAAAUUGAGAAUUUAUUAAUUUUAUUUAAAUAAGGAAUAGAUUAGUUAAAUUAUAGAUAAAUAGUAAUAAUUAUUUCUCUUAUGUUAUAUUAGGAGAAGAGUAGAUUUUUCCAGAAUUAUUUUUCUCUCAAGCUUUCAAGGUCUUUGCAUAAUUUGAGGUAAGGGAAGUUAAUGCAAUAUUUAUAAAAUUAAAUUAUUUUAUAUGUUAUUUUGAAUUGUGGAAAAGAAAAUGAUAUUUUGUUACCAUGUAUGGAUCAAACUGUUUUGCACUAAAUAUUAUGUUGGAAUAUUUUGUUUUAUUUAUGACACAAAAUAUGGAGAUAUUACGUUGUGUAAAUUUGAAUACUUGAACAAAAACAUCACUCUGGUUUAUUUGGCCCUUGUCAACGGGAUAUAAUAGUUGACUAUUCGGCCCUGUCAACGGGAUAUAAUAGUUGACCUUUACAUUUCAUGGUGGGAAUGUAAUUGAUUUAGACCCUAGCCUCUAGGGGUUUGGUUAGAGGUUACUAGUACUAGUAGUGUUUGGUUCCAUCUACCAGAAACAAUUUGAGGCUAGCCACCCAUUUGAAAAGUCCCACAUAACUGGGCAUUUGAUAUUUGAUAACCAGAGUAAUUAAAAUUGAAUGGAUUUGAUUGAAUCUUAUGUGAAAGUGUUUGAAUUUGAUAUGAAAAUGGUUGGUUGAAAUUAGGAAUGGCAAUUUCGCGGGUUUUUCGGGUCACCCACCCCGUCCCGCCCCGAUUAGAACGGGUAUGGGAGCAUAGAAAUCGGGGAUGGGACGGAUUCAAGUUUUAAAAAAAAACCCGAAUCGGGUUCAGGGCGGGAUCGGGUUUAGUAACAAUAUGCCCCGCCCCGCCCUGAAUAUGAAAUUACAAGUUUACCCCCACCUAUAAAUAUUUGCUUCCUAUCCUUUCUGGUCUUCUUCUCCCGUUUUAGGUUUUUUUUCUCUCGUUUUAAGGUUCUCAUUCCUGGGGUUGUUGAUGAGAACACAAGUGAUGAUGGAGACGGAGCUGUCCCGAAUCACCUGAGACGACCUCAUCAUAUUAGAUUGCCUCGACCCCUUUCUGUACCAGUUUCCAGUGUGAAGAAAUGGCUUCCGCAAAUCCCUCCCAUCCUCGUUCUCGUCCCUGAAACUCAUCCCUAAUCUGCAAUCAGCAACUCAAGUGUUCGUCAAAAUGCUAAAAGAUGGUGUGUUUUGGACAGUUAGAGUACUCAAUGUAGAAAUCCAUCAAAUAAUCCACCCGAAACUGCCAUUUUCUCCAUGGGAAUCGUUUUAGGUAUUUUUUUUUUUGGAAUUUUGAUUUUUUGGUUUUGGGUGUUUUUUUGUCAGUUUCUAGGCAAAAGAUGAGAGAUUUGAAUGUUGAUUUGUUUGGUUUGGAGUGUUUUUUUUUGUCAAUUUCUGGGCAAAAUAUGAGAAAUUUGUUGGUGAUAUUUGGGAUUGUCCAGAUUCGUAAUCUGGUGGCAACAAGGUGGUCUUUUUGCUAAUUUAUUUUCCUCAUUUCAACAGUCUGUAACUCAUUGUUUUCACCUGUUUUUGGGCAACCCGGGUCGGAACGGCCGGGGAUGGAAUUUUGAUUAUUAUUUCAAAACAGGGAUGAGAUUACAUACCCCGCCCCGCCUCGGGUUUGGGACGGGGAUGAGAUUUGUUUUGAAUAAACGGGACGGGGUUGGGAUGAGGGCGACCCGUCCCGUUGCCAUUCCUAGUUGAAAUUUGAAUAUAUUGGUAUUUUUGAAACUUUGAUAUUUGAUGAGAAAAAAAAAUGAUAUCUUCUAUUUGAAAUGAAAAUAUUUGAUCCAUGAACUGCAUUAAUAUUCCUUAUUGGGUUGUGAGCUCAUUCCCAAUUGUUGAAAAUUUUUCAGGUACCUUUAGUUCGGGCGAGGAGUGAUGACUAAGCGGGAAAGUUGGUCAUCAUUAGGAUUUUUCUUAGGAUGUUAUUUUUGAACAUUGUUAGCUUAUAAGUUUAUGUUCAUUUGGUUUAUUUAGUUUUUGGAAGCUAUUUAGAUAUUGAGCUUUUAAAUAUAUAUUUUUUUUAUGAUAGAUUGAAGUUGAGAUUUGGAGAUUAUAAAAAUUCGUUAGUACUUGAUUUGUUGAGUUGCAAUCUAUUUGGAUAAUGGAUUUUAGUUGAUGAAUGCUUAGUUUUAAAGUUAAGUUUGGAGAUUUUAGAAUUUUGUUUUGCUACUCUGAAUAGGUUUUUGAUAAUUGGUUACUUCCAAUUACAAUAUGAUUGUUUAGGUCAGGUUAUACUUUAAGCCUUCGGGUUUGAGGUGUAAAAUGACCGUCACGCCCUUGGAGUGGGUCUUGGGGCGUGACAAGCAGACCACCUUCUGGUUGAAAUUUUCAUGUUACCCAUAACUCAUAAGCAGGAUUUAAGCAGCCCAUCAAUAAUCUUAUGGCCAUCCAAAACAGGCAGUGGCAGACCUGUGGCCCAGCCACUGGUGAGUCGAAAUCUCCUUUCCACUAACUUUCCUUUCAAUAUAUCUUCUAGGAAAAUUCUACAGCCCUGUGUGGUAGCAAUAGAAGAACAUCUUGCACAUCUCCUUUGCACUGACCUCCCUUAGGAAAAUUCUACAGCACUGUGUGGUAGCAAUUGAAGCAAGAUGAUAAUAUAUAUAUGUACAUAACCGACCCUCACUUUCCUUGAUACUUCAUUUUGUCUCUCUUCUUCCAUUCUUUCCCUUUACAUUCAUCAUCGCAGCUGUCCUGGAAGAUAUCCAACUCAUAGAGUUAAUCAAACAUAAAAAAAAAAAAUUUCUUUUUUUUUUCUUUUUUUGAUUUGUUUAUAGAUGAUUUUUUACUGUUAUUUUUAUGGUUAUUGGUUUCUUUGGUGAUGAUUUUUUAUGAUAUAUAAAUCCAUUUUAACAUUGUUGUUAGAUGGAUUAAUUUUUAAUUUUUAAUCUUAUUUAGACAAUUUAUCUUUAAAUAAUAGAAUUGGUUGUUAUAAUUCUUAUCAUUUUUAUUAAAUUCUAAUUCUAAUUCAAUAAAAUAAAUACGGUCAAAAAUUUGAAAUUGACGGGUUGCUAACUUUUAUUAUAAUUGUCUUGACUAAUUUACAUUCUCACUUGUGGUCAUUGUAGAGGUAAGACACGAAAAUGUUUGACCCAUUUGUUCAUUUAUCAUUUUUCAAAGGGAGAAUUACCAAAGAUGGUGGGCUCCAUACUACUAAUGUUUGACCCGUUUGUUCAUAUCUCAUUUUUCAAAAGGAGAAUUAUCAAAUAUGAUGGGCUCUGAUUGAUAAUGAGUCAUCAACUUGAUAAUCUUUCAUAUGCUUCAAAAUAUAAAAACUCAAAUAUACCCUUAUGUCUUUUAUUUUAAAGUCAAGCAUAUCCUUAUUUGGCCUUUUCCCUAUUUUGUAUUUUAUUUAUUUUAUUUUAUUUUUUAAUUAUUAUUUUUAAAAUAUGAAUAAUAAUCAUAAAAAUAAAUAAUAUUAGUAAGAAUGAUAUUAAUAAAUAACAUGAAUAAUUCCAAAUAUUAAUAUUAUAAAUAAUAAUAUUAACAUUAAUAAUAAUAACAAUGUGUAAAAAAGUAUAAAANNNNNNNNNNNNNNNNNNNNNNNNNNNNNNNNNNNNNNNNNNNNNNNNNNNNNNNNNNNNNNNNNNNNNNNNNNNNNNNNNNNNNNNNNNNNNNNNNNNNCAAUUUAAUAAUUGGAUGAAUACCACAUGCAUUUUUUGUAUAGAAGGAGGUCCUCUUAGGAUACAACAUUGUUUAAAAUCAUUUAUAUAACUACAAUUUUUUUACCAAUAUCUUAUUAAAAAAAUGGAAAAUAACAAAAAUCCCCCAUUAGGCCCACAUUACUUCUUUGUAUGCUGGCACAAAGUCACUUAUGGGUGGAGGAAAAACAUAAGAGAUUUAUUUUUUCAACCAAAUUUAAUAUUAAGGUGGUUUUACUUUUUUUUUUUUUUACUUAAUUUUAAUUUGAAUUUAAAACUAAAUAGUAUUUAAUAACAUUAACUAGUAAGUUAUUUUUAAAAAGAUUUUAUUUUUAUUAAAUAUUUAAGAAGUAAAAGAAAACCUAUAAAUUACUUUUAGCAUCCAGAAAAGUCAAAUAUCAUUUUUUAUAAUAAAAAAAAUUAAAAAAUAAGUAAUAUAUUAACAAAAUGUACAAAAACAAACUAUUUGAAAUCUAAAACAAAAAUAUUUUUCUAUAAAAAAAAAUUUAAAAACAAACAGCACCUAAUUUUUCAUAAUCAUCUUUACAUUCUUUUCUUUAAAAGAGAUUUGUGUUCAAAUCCAACUCUACUAUUUAUUCUUGAGUGUCCAUCGAUGCUUGAUGGUACAGUGAUUUCACAUUUUCCUUUAGGGUGUGUUUGGUACAUGGGAAUAGGGAGUGAGAAUAGACAUCUUAUUCCUUUUCUACCUUAUUCCUAUGUUUGGAUAAAUAUUAAGAAGACGAAAAUGGAAUAAAAAAUUAUUCAGGCAGAAAUCAAAUCCAACUUAUAAGUCGGAUUUGCAUUCAUCAAAAGUAGGUGGUAUUCUGAUUCAUUAAACUCAUUUGAUAAUAUAAAAUAACCUAAAUUACUAUUUUACGCUCUUAUCUCAUUCUUCAAGCCUGAUGUUUAUUUUCUUUGUAAAGGUAGAGAUUCAUUCAUCAUCUACUUCUUAUCUUCUUUGCAAAGCUAGAGACCCACUCAUCAUCCAAUUCUCUGCAACAAGUGAUUCUUCCAAAUUGAAUCAAUCAAACCUUCCACGACAUUUAGAAAAUUCAAUUUCUUAGUAAAAUAUAAUUCUAUAGCUUUUUUUGCAUGACAAAUUAUUUAAAAUUUUGAUUAAAAAAAAUGAAUAUUUAAAAAUUUUUAAGGUUAUAAAUUUUAUCGGAUAUAAUAUUUGUUGAAAAUUAGAAUAAAUUUGAAUUCUUUUAUUUUCUUUUUUGGAAAUAGGAAAAAUAUUUGCUAGUUUUGAGAAUUUAAAUAUUAUAAUAAAUGAGGUAUUUAUCAAGUUCUUGAAAAUCAAUUUAAUAAGUUUAGAAAAUCAUUUGAACGAUAGAUGCAUGUCUUUUCUGGUUGGCUUCCGGGUCAAUCUUCUACUGCAAGCCCCACUAAGGAAUAUAAACGUUUUUGCCACGAUGUAAGCUUAGUUUGUAACUAUGCCUUUUCAUUUUAAGCUAUGGGGAUGAGGGUAGACUUCAAAUUCCUCAUCCACAUCCUGAACUCCCUCAGAUUUCUUGGCAACCAAAUGGAUUUUAUUGAAAUCAUGUCCAAUAAGAAAAGAAGGUUUUACGAGUACUCAACGUAAACCUUCGAUUAUGAUAUUUCUUCUCUUAAAAAAAUGUUAGAUGAUGUCACAGCUUAAAAGGCAAAAAAAUUCUGCAGCUGCUUUCCUUCCUCACUUUCCCUCUUGCCUACAUGUUAAUUAGUACUUAUGCUUAGCUGUAGCAUGUGCAGAAGCUCGUCUUUCCUAGUACUAGUUGAAUAUUUGCAGUAGCUCUAACGGUUGUAUUUUACACUCUGGAUUGGCAAUGCAUAAAAGCAGAUUCAGUAGCAAUUAAGAUGGGAAGAUGAGAUACAAUAUUUUGAAAAAAUAAAAACUAUCUUGAUAAAUUAAUGAUUUAUUAAUUAAUACACAAUUAAUAUUCACUUAAUUAAUUGAUUUUCCUUGUUCCCAAGCUAUUAAUUUAUGGACGAUUAAUUAUAUCUUAAAAGAAAAAAAGAAAAAAGAAAUCUCAAAAUGGUCUAAGACUUAAAUGCAUCUUCCCUGGAUAAGCAUAAUUCAAUGUAGCAGGUAGCAGAACUUGACCGUCAUUUUCAUCAAAGUCUUCCCUAAUUUCUGUGGUUGAAUAGAUUAAACAACAUUAGAGUGGCAGGAAAUGAUCCUUUUCAUGCUGAUGAAUUAAUAGAAGAAAUCAGAUACCUGAUUUUCCCCAGCUGGUUCUGCUGCUUUUCUUUCCCUCAAAGUCUUGGAACCUCCCAUGCACUGUAUUUUGGAGAACCAUUUAGAAAUGUUUUCAGAUUUUCUGUCUCCAGGGGCCAUUGGAAAAAAAAAAAAAAAAAAACUCAUUCAAUGCAGAGACCAACUACCAUUCAAAGCAAGGUGUAGCAGUUUUGAAAGACCUUUUGUUAGGAUUCCCUUCUAGAUAUGUUUCCUUCUAUGACUUUUCCAAUUUGUAUCGGACCUUUCUUCAAUCUAGACCAUGCCCAGAAUGAGAAGAAUUGUGGAAAGAACACUAAAUUCAUGUACUUAAGGCCCCACUGGAAUUAGAUUUUCUACGCUGGACGGCAAAAUAAUUAUCUACUUUUUGACUUGCUAUAUGUUAUCUCUCCUAAAAUAUUCAAUGAAACUGAUUCCCAAGCCAAGCGCAGGGUCCCAUAAAUGACCAUUAUUUCACCCAUUUUGCUUUUGAAGUCUAUGUUGUAGAGAUGAGAGAGGCUCAAUGGGCUCGUUUAGCCCUACUUGAGCUUGAGCUUGAGCUUGAGCUUUCCAUCAUAAACUACAGAAAUUGUAGACUUCAAGUUAUUUCUCUUUUGCAUUUUCCUUAGUUUUCUCAGCAACCAAAGGGGUUUUACUCAAACUAUGUCCAAACAAAUGGGAAGUGUUAUAAGUCACAGGAAACGUUAUACCACAUUUUUUUUCUUCACGAAAAUUGUUUGAUCACUUUGGAUUUGGAAGGCGAAAAAUCUACAUCUGCUUAAUUAAUUCCUCCCUUUCCCUCAUGCCUAUAUGCUGAGUAGCUGAAUUGUCUUCGCUAUUGCUAGUUGAAUGAAGCACUGUAUGAUAUGAAUCUGAACCUGAAGCUAACCCUGCUUCUAUUUACUCCCUGCCCCCAUUAUAGCUAAGUUAAUACCUACACCUGGGUUCUGAUAAUUUCUUUCCCCACUGACAUAUCCAUCAAUUACAGCAUCUUGUCCUCGUACCCCAUUCCCCAUACCAAAAACUGUUUCAAAAUUAUCUUCUUUCAGACGCCGAGUGAAAACUUAAUUCACUUACUAUGCUAAUAUAUAAAAUUACAGGAAAAGAAAAAAAAGUGGAAGGUGGAUAGUUGACUCUCUAUAGAGGGAUUGGCCCUAAAUGCGCCAUUUGUUUUGAGCUCUGAAAAUUGUCCUCCACUCUUUGGAUUGAUGAGGGAACAGAUCAUAAUCAAAUUAAAUCCAAAUUCAACUGGAUAAAAUCAGACUUCAUAACAAUUUCAGAUAAAAAUAUUAGACACAGGUCUGAAUGAUUAUUGAACUGUUUUGGAAGAAAAAUUCACACAGAUCACGUGUCCAUUUCAAUACAUGAGCUAUGAAUUCGCAAAAACAACGUAAGACAAUAUGCUGAAAUUUAAGCAUAUUAUUUUUUAAGUUCUGAACCAUUAUCGUGCUUGCAUAAUUGAAAGUGUCACACCAUUUAAGGAACAAAUUUCAGGCCUGUUUUGGGAUAUAUGUGGUUCCACCCCACUUCUCAGAUUUGAAAAUGCCGGUUGUUUUGGAGAAGGUAAAUGUACACUUUCAUUGCCAAGCAUUGAGACAACAUCAGACAUGGUAGGCCUGUCAUUUGCACUUUCUUGAACACAAAGAAGGCCUAUAUUGAUGUACUUCAACAGAAUGUGUCUUGGCAAUGUCUCUUCCAACACUGGAUCCAUCAAUUCCUGUCCCCUGCUGUCUUUCCACAGAUCCCAUGCCUUUUUUUAUUGAAUACACAACAGCUAGAAGUUCAGAUAUGUAGAAGUUACAAACCAAAUAGGAAGAAAUCCAAGCUUUUGUUGGGCAUAUACUCAUAAAUCAAUAUCUUCUCAUCUUGCUCAAUGCAGCAGCCGAAUAGCUUCACAAGAUUCUUAUGUUGCAGCUUGGCUAUGAGCAUGGCCUCAUUUUUUAACUCCUCCCAUCCCUGUCCAGAUCUUUUUGAAAGCCUCUUCACAGCUACCUAGCUCAUACCCUUUUUGUGACUUUCCCUGUAAUGGGAAUUUCGGCUGAGUACAAUUACAUCAAGUAAAAGAAAAUUUGUAUUUACCUAGUGGGCCUUUACAGUUAAGGACAGAUUGUAGAACAGUCAGAAGAAUUUUCACAUUUCUUUUCUGAAAGGCAUUGCUGUUAAUGAUACGAAUCUCACCUUGUAAACAGGACCAAAACCACCCUCUCCUAGUUUAUUUUCAAUAGAGAAGUUAUUGGUAGCAGCAGAUACACUCACAAAACUGAACAUUGGCAAAUCAACUUCCUUCUUCUCACCUCUCCAAAGUUUAUUUGCCUCACUAAGUUCAUAGUUGGUAUCUACUGAGCUGUUACUUAAAUCAAAUAGUAACAAAUUUUCCCCUGCUUGAUAAAGAACAAACAGAUGUUAAGUAUCUUAAGAAUGUAGGAAUUCUGGAAUGGGAAUAAAUUGUUUCAUUAUUGAUUUUUAUCACACUGUAGUGCCUGGUACACACUCACAUGUAAUCAGGAGAUCGAAAUCCUAAUAAGGCCUUAAUUAUUCUACAACAAUGGUAAUGAACUCAUUGCAGAAAAGAAAUGGUUUUGUAUGUGUAGAUGGAAUCUAAAUGCCCUUGAAUUGCUUGGCCAUCUUCUAUCCAUGAAAAAUACUGACCUUUUCUUCGUAGCCUUCUCCGUAUCCCCCAAAUGACAAAGGCCGAAGUUACGGAAAUGGCCAGUGUAACAAUUAGCCAUACCUUCCACUUGCUGCUUGAAACUGCAAAAAGAAAUAAAUGUAACUAAUCUUUGAUGAACUUCAUCUUAUAUUUAAGAAAAAGAAAAUCAUAUGCUCUGUCCUACAAAAAAAGUUUGACCAUUCCCUACUUUUAUUACCUUUCCCACUUAGCUCAGAGGCCGCAAGUUUGAGAUAGAAAUCUUGACCAUUACUGUUGUCAUCUGAUAGCUGUUGCAAGUUUAGAAGAUCUCCACCCCAUACUGUACACUUCUCCAUGUAGUAAGAAUAAGCAGAGCAAGAGCAGUUAUUUAGGCAAUCUGACUCGCACUGCAUGACACCACUCGUUGGGAGUGUUAGUGGAUAAUCUGGCAGCCUCACAUUAGACACCCGAUGAAACUGGUCUCUCUCCCCAUUAGGAUGAGUACUAUUGCCACACUGCAAAUCUGCUUUCCUCACACACCCUCCAGAUGUGUCGUUCAAGUUCCAGUUAUUAGGGAAGCCAGGUUCAAAACCUGGCAAACAUUCACAGAAUCUAUCGACUGCAUGGUCAUGACAGAUUCCAAAAGGCCCACAGUAAGCAUAAACCUCACAUUGCGUUUUUGGUUGAAACCAAAACAUAUGCCAUUGAUGAGAGGCUUCAAGCCAUGACAUUUGUUUAAUCUGCCCUGACACAUCCAGCACGAAUCUGCUUAUUAUUGAAGAAUUAUAAAUAGAGUAAUUGAUAUAGCUCUCCUCCUUACUAAACGAAUAACUGAAAUUAAACACAUCGUUUGAGCGCAUCUCACGAAUCAAGCUGAAAGCCUGCCCAUCCCUGUCCCAGGUGCCACUAGCCCAGUACAUUGUGGACCCUUGCAAGAUAAAAAUCUGGCCGCUUCCCUUAGGGUCGUACUUCAUGGAGAAAACUCCUGGACUGGGAUCUUCUGUGCUCUUCCAUGACACUAAUGACCAUGUUUUUCCAGCCCUUCUGUCGUAUCCAAGUUUCAUCCCCGGCAAGAAAGUGUCCGAUGGAUGGUCAAAGCUUUGCCAUAUACUCGAGUUGUCAUUUCUCAAAACAAGAUUUCCAGAAUCCAAUAGGGUGGCACUAGUUUUUCUGUUUGAUGAUAUGUUUGUCACCCUGUAUGAAAUUUUCCCCUCCCAAACCUCGAGGUUACCAUCUGUCCUGACAGUAAGAACCACAGACGGAUUUGUGAAUGGAUAAUCUCGGUUAGCUACCCACACAAUGGUUGGCUCUGAUAUUUUCUUGUACCAUAUCCCCACAUAAUAUUUUGUGGAGUUUCCAGGAGAAAAGAAUCCUAAUUCAAAUUCACCACCCGCAGAUAUGAUGGUCUGAGAGGUUGUGAUUGAUUGACC